RNAcentral lists this ribosomal RNA (254 nucleotides) under uncultured bacterium. RNAcentral's name for it is "partial 16S ribosomal RNA". It matches the Rfam family "Bacterial small subunit ribosomal RNA", at positions 524 to 777 of the family's 1533-position model. The record is from RNAcentral.
UACAGGGGGGGCAAGCGUUGUUCGGAAUUACUGGGCGUAAAGGGCCAGUAGGCGGCCAACUAAGUCACACGUGAAAUCCCCAGGCUUAACCUGGGAACUGCGUGUGAUACUGGAUGGCUUGAAUUCGGGAGAGGGAUGCAGAAUUCCAGGUGUAGCGGUGAAAUGCGUAGAUAUCUGGAGGAAUACCGGUGGCGAAGGCGGCAUCCUGGACCGGCAUUGACGCUGAGGCGCGAAAGCUAGGGGAGCAAACGGGG